This 476-nucleotide ribosomal RNA is filed under the name uncultured organism. RNAcentral's name for it is "partial 16S ribosomal RNA". It matches the Rfam family "Bacterial small subunit ribosomal RNA", at positions 333 to 800 of the family's 1533-position model. The record is from RNAcentral.
ACACUCCUACGGGAGGCAGCAGUGGGGAAUUUUGGACAAUGGGGGCAACCCUGAUCCAGCAAUGCCGCGUGAGUGAAGAAGGCCUUCGGGUUGUAAAGCUCUUUUGUCAGGGAAGAAACGGUGGUGGCGAAUAACUACUACUAAUGACGGUACCUGAAGAAUAAGCACCGGCUAACUACGUGCCAGCAGCCGCGGUAAUACGUAGGGUGCAAGCGUUAAUCGGAAUUACUGGGCGUAAAGCGUGCGCAGGCGGUUGUGUAAGUCAGAUGUGAAAUCCCCGGGCUCAACCUGGGAAUUGCAUUUGAGACUGCACGGCUAGAGUGUGUCAGAGGGGGGUAGAAUUCCACGUGUAGCAGUGAAAUGCGUAGAUAUGUGGAGGAAUACCGAUGGCGAAGGCAGCCCCCUGGGAUAACACUGACGCUCAUGCACGAAAGCGUGGGGAGCAAACAGGAUUAGAAACCCCUGUAGUCCCAUGA